This 478-nucleotide ribosomal RNA is filed under the name uncultured bacterium. RNAcentral's name for it is "partial 16S ribosomal RNA". It matches the Rfam family "Bacterial small subunit ribosomal RNA", at positions 28 to 507 of the family's 1533-position model. The record is from RNAcentral.
GACGAACGCUGGCGGCGUGCUUAACACAUGCAAGUCGAACGGGAUUUAGUAGACAGAAGCUUCGGUGGAAGAUUACUAAUGAGAGUGGCGAACGGGUGAGUAACGCGUGAGCAACCUGCCUAUGACAGUGGGAUAGCCUCGGGAAACCGGGAUUAAUACCGCAUAAAAUCGUAGAAACACAUGUUUCAACGGUCAAAGAUUUAUCGGUCGUAGAUGGGCUCGCGUCUGAUUAGCUAGUUGGUGAGAUAACAGCCCACCAAGGCGACGAUCAGUAGCCGGUCUGAGAGGAUGAACGGCCACAUUGGAACUGAGACACGGUCCAAACUCCUACGGGAGGCAGCAGUGGGGAAUAUUGCACAAUGGGGGAAACCCUGAUGCAGCGACGCCGCGUGAACGAAGAAGGUAUUCGUAUCGUAAAGUUCUGUCCUAUGGGAAGAUAAUGACAGUACCAGAGAAGAAAGCUCCGGCUAAAUACGUG